Molecule: ribosomal RNA, 528 nt
Filed under: uncultured bacterium
Lineage: Bacteria
Description: bacterial SSU rRNA
Rfam family: Bacterial small subunit ribosomal RNA
Source: RNAcentral
ACUAAAUAGAUACCCAGGUAGUCCACGCCCUAAACGAUGUCUACUAGUUGUUGGUGGAGUAAAAUCCAUGAGUAAACGCAGCUAAACGCGUGAAGUAGACCGCCUGGGGAGUACGGUCGCAAGAUUAAAACUCAAAGGAAUUGACGGGGGCCCGCACAAGCGGUGGAUUAUGUGGAUUAAAUUCGAUGCAACGCGAAAAACCUUACCUGGCCUUGACAUGCCACUAACGAAGCAGAGAUGCAUUAGGUGCCCGUAAGGGAAAGUGGACACAGGUGCUGCAUGGCUGUCGUCAGCUCGUGUCGUGAGGUGUUGGGUUAAGUCCCGCAACGAGCGCAACCCUUGCCAUUAAUUGCCAUCAUUUAGUUGGGCACUUUAAUGGGACUGCCGGUGACAAACCGGAGGAAGGUGGGGAUGACGUCAAGUCCUCAUGGCCCUUAUGGCCAGGGCUUCACACGUAAUACAAUGGUCGGUACAGAGAGUUGCCAACCCGCGAGGGGGUAGCUAAUCUCAGAAAGCCGAUCGUAGUCC